AGGGACUUAGGUUAACUAGACCAAGAGCCUUCAAAGCCCUAAGUGGGAGUUAAACCCUCCCAGACCCUG
This 69-nucleotide transfer RNA is filed under the name Culaea inconstans (brook stickleback). RNAcentral's name for it is "tRNA-Trp". It matches the Rfam family "tRNA". Rfam says of the family: Transfer RNA (tRNA) molecules are approximately 80 nucleotides in length. Their secondary structure includes four short double-helical elements and three loops (D, anti-codon, and T loops). The record is from RNAcentral. Lineage: Eukaryota; Metazoa; Chordata; Actinopteri; Perciformes; Gasterosteidae.